This 592-nucleotide ribosomal RNA is filed under the name uncultured fungus. Its description in RNAcentral is "eukaryotic LSU rRNA". The stretch from base 237 to 390 matches the Rfam family "5.8S ribosomal RNA". Lineage: Eukaryota; Fungi. The record is from RNAcentral.
AAGUCGUAACAAGGUCUCCGUUGGUGAACCAGCGGAGGGAUCAUUAUAGAGUUUUAUAACUCCCAACCCAUGUGAACUUACCAUUGUUGCCUCGGUGGGCCUACCCAGAUUGGCAUACCCGGAAGUGAGCUACCAUGUAGCGAGCUACCCGGAGCGUGCCGACCCGGAGCGGCCCGCCGGUGGACUACCAAACUCUGUUAUUUUGGUGAAUCUGAGCGUCUUAUUUAAUAAGUCAAAACUUUCAACAACGGAUCUCUUGGUUCUGGCAUCGAUGAAGAACGCAGCGAAAUGCGAUAAGUAAUGUGAAUUGCAGAAUUCAGUGAAUCAUCGAAUCUUUGAACGCACAUUGCGCCCAUGAGUAUUCUCCUGGGCAUGCCUGUUCGAGCGUCAUUUCAACCCUUAAGCCUAGCUUAGUGUUGGGAAUCUACCGUGGGCAUACAGCCCGGCAGUUCCUGAAAACCAACGGCGGACUUGUAGUAUCCUCUGAGCGUAGUAAUCUCUCUCGCUUUUGUCAGGUGCUGUAAAUCUGGCCGCUAAACCCCCAAUUUUAAAGGUUGACCUCGGAUCAGGUAGGAAUACCCGCUGAACUUAA